AUUGAACGCUGGCGGCAUGCUUUACACAUGCAAGUCGGACGAGUGGCGAACGGGUGAGUAACAUAUCGGAACGUACCGAGUAAUGGGGGAUAACUAAUCGAAAGCUUAGCUAAUACCGCAUAUUAUUCGAGCGGCCGCUAUUUGAGUAGCUGGUGGGUGGGGUAAAGGCCUACCAAGGCGACGAUCAGUAGCGGGUCUGAGAGGCUGAUCGGCCACACUGGGACUGAGACACGGCCCAGACUCCUACGUGAGGCAGCAGUGGGGAAUUUUGGACAAUGGGCGCAAGCCUGACCGAGCCAUGCCGCGUGUGUGAAGAAGGCCUUCGGGUUGUAAAGGACUUUUGUCAGGGAAGCGGUACCUGAAGAAUAAGCACCGGCUAACUACGUGCCAGCAGCCGCGGUAAUAC
RNAcentral lists this ribosomal RNA (406 nucleotides) under uncultured bacterium. RNAcentral describes it as "partial 16S ribosomal RNA". It matches the Rfam family "Bacterial small subunit ribosomal RNA", at positions 30 to 526 of the family's 1533-position model. The record is from RNAcentral.